UAGAUUGGCAAGAGUAGGGACAGCGGACAGUGAAUUUCUGACGAAGGUACAACCAUAUUCCGACUUUCCCAGCCGCGCACGGCUCGAAGCUUUGGGUGCAUUUAUUGGCGGCCCAUAGGUAGAAGCACACGGCAGUUGAACAGUGGCAGUAUAACUACCCACGUAUGCAUACAUCUAUACGUGUCGACAUACACGUAGGACAGACAACACGAAUUGGUCCUCGGUUGGACGUCAACCGAAACGCGAAACAGCGCCGAAGAUUGGCGACGUCGCGACGCCUUGCAGAUUUAUUUAGAUUUAAGUAUGGACACUAAAGUCGAUGACGAGGGGCAUCGGAGUAUUAACGAUGGUGACUGGAUCUGCCCCGACUCCCAGUGUGGCAAUGUUAAUUUUGCUAGACGAAAUUCUUGCAAUCGGUGCGGCAAAGACAGAGGGGAAUGUCCCAAGAAAAAGAAGUUAGGACAAGAGAUUGGCAAAGCUGCUGCGGAGAAAAGCAGGGGCUUGUUUAGUGCGGAUGACUGGCAGUGUAGCAAGUGUGGUAACGUGAAUUGGGCACGGAGGCAGCAAUGUAAUAUGUGUAAUGCUCCGAAGUUUGGUGAGGUUGAGGAACGAACAGGCUACGGAGGCGGUUACAAUGAUCGUGGAGUUGUCGAGUACAAGGAACGAAAGGAUGACGACGAUGACGAAUAUGACGAGUUUGGGAGGCGAAGGAAAAAGCGAAAACUCGAAAGUAGAACGUCCGACGAGGACUCCAAGGACUCAUUCAAAUAUAUCAGCCCACCCAGGAGCAAACCGAAAGAAGAUAUCAAAAUUGAGGAGCUGAAACCUGAGGGAAACAAAGAGGCUGAUAACGAAGAUGAGGAGGAGGAGGAAGAAGAAGAGGAUGACGACGACGGCGACUUAUCCAAGUAUGAUCUCAGCGAAUGGGACGAUUUUGUUCCAGCCGAAAAAACCUUAAAUCGCAAAGUUACAACCUCGCGAGAUCAGCGGUCAAGGUAAACACGAAACGGUGGAGAAAGACUGGACUCUGGCACAUCCAGCCAAUAAAUGGUUGGACAGGACAGGUUUGGUCUGGAUUUUGGAUGACACAACACGCGACAAGAGUUGCUGAGUACCGAAAAGAGAUUAGUGCUGUAAGGUGUGGCACAGUGAUUAGAAAAUGGCAAAGCCUGAUCUUGUGCCAUUCGGAAUCACAUUAAAAACGAAAACGAUCAGCACAUCCAGCGCUUGUUAAUACCAUAGUCGGGACACGUUUACUGGUUACCACCUCGCAAUCAAGUUUGCAGUCUUAGAUAAGCCUUUAGAUCUACUAAAACCAAACCAUUUUAUUCCACCGA
Molecule: RNA transcript, 1337 nt
Organism: Diprion similis
Lineage: Eukaryota; Metazoa; Arthropoda; Insecta; Hymenoptera; Diprionidae
Gene name: zinc finger Ran-binding domain-containing protein 2
Exons: 8
Source: RefSeq, a predicted model, not a curated record